Molecule: ribosomal RNA, 466 nt
Filed under: uncultured bacterium
Lineage: Bacteria
Description: partial 16S ribosomal RNA
Rfam family: Bacterial small subunit ribosomal RNA
Source: RNAcentral
GAUGAACGCUGGCGGCGUGCUUAACACAUGCAAGUCGAACGAUGAUGCCCAGCUUGCUGGGUGGAUUAGUGGCGAACGGGUGAGUAACACGUGAGUAACCUGCCCUUGACUCUGGGAUAAGCCUGGGAACUGGGUCUAAUACCGGAUACGACCAUCUGGCGCAUGUCAUGGUGGUGGAAAGCUUUUGUGGUUUUGGAUGGACUCGCGGCCUAUCAGCUUGUUGGUGGGGUAAUGGCCUACCAAGGCGACGACGGGUAGCCGGCCUGAGAGGGUGACCGGCCACACUGGGACUGAGACACGGCCCAGACUCCUACGGGAGGCAGCAGUGGGGAAUAUUGCACAAUGGGCGCAAGCCUGAUGCAGCGACGCCGCGUGAGGGAUGACGGCCUUCGGGUUGUAAACCUCUUUCAGUAGGGAAGAAGCGAAAGUGACGGUACCUGCAGAAGAAGCGCCGGCUAACUACGUG